This 449-nucleotide ribosomal RNA is filed under the name uncultured bacterium. RNAcentral describes it as "partial 16S ribosomal RNA". It matches the Rfam family "Bacterial small subunit ribosomal RNA", at positions 29 to 523 of the family's 1533-position model. The record is from RNAcentral.
AAUGAACGCUGGCGGCAGGCCUAACACAUGCAAGUCGAACGGAUCCUUCGGGAUUAGCGGCGGACGGGUGAGUAACGCGUGGGAACAUACCCAAAGGUACGGAAUAGCCUCGGGAAACUGGGAGUAAUACCGUAUGUGCUCGAAAGAGGAAAGAUUUAUCGCCUUUGGAUUGGCCCGCGUUGGAUUAGGUAGUUGGUGGGGUAAUGGCCUACCAAGCCGACGAUCCAUAGCUGGUUUGAGAGGAUGAUCAGCCACACUGGGACUGAGACACGGCCCAGACUCCUGCGGGAGGCAGCAGUGGGGAAUCUUAGACAAUGGGGGAAACCCUGAUCUAGCCAUGCCGCGUGAUCGAUGAAGGCCUUAGGGUUGUAAAGAUCUUUCAGGUGGGAAGAUAAUGACUGUACCACCAGAAGAAGCCCCGGCUAACUCCGUGCCAGCAGCCGCCGUAA